This 219-nucleotide ribosomal RNA is filed under the name Triticum aestivum (bread wheat). Its description in RNAcentral is "partial small subunit ribosomal RNA". The record is from RNAcentral. Lineage: Eukaryota; Viridiplantae; Streptophyta; Magnoliopsida; Poales; Poaceae.
AUGGCGUCCCGGAGCUGCACCUUCCUCGAGAUCCUGCUCGCCAUCNUCCUGAUAGCAACUAACAGUAUUGGUCUUCCUUUCUGUCUUGAACAGAUGGAGUUCUGCAUCUGCCUGUUGCUCACCAUCCUGGGCUACAUCCCCGGCAUCAUCUACGCGGUCUACGUGCUCGUUGCGCUCGGCUCAGAGGAGCGUGAUCGGGACUACGACACCCUUGCUUAA